Molecule: ribosomal RNA, 497 nt
Filed under: uncultured bacterium
Lineage: Bacteria
Description: partial 16S ribosomal RNA
Rfam family: Bacterial small subunit ribosomal RNA
Source: RNAcentral
GAUGAACGCUGGCGGCGUGCCUAAUACAUGCAAGUCGAGCGAACAGACGAGGAGCUUGCUCCUCUGACGUUAGCGGCGGACGGGUGAGUAACACGUGGAUAACCUACCUAUAAGACUGGGAUAACUUCGGGAAACCGGAGCUAAUACCGGAUAAUAUAUUGAACCGCAUGGUUCAAUAGUGAAAGACGGUUUUGCUGUCACUUAUAGAUGGAUCCGCGCCGCAUUAGCUAGUUGGUAAGGUAACGGCUUACCAAGGCAACGAUGCGUAGCCGACCUGAGAGGUUGAUCGGCCACACUGGAACUGAGACACGGUCCAGACUCCUACGGGAGGCAGCAGUAGGGAAUCUUCCGCAAUGGGCGAAAGCUUGACGGAGCAACGCCGCGUGAGUGAUGAAGGUCUUCGGAUCGUAAAACUCUGUUAUUAGGGAAGAACAAAUGUGUAAGUAACUAUGCACGUCUUGACGGUACCUAAUCAGAAAGCCACGGCUAACUACGUG